GCUCUAACUGGGGUGUUUUGGGACCGAUUGGCGGGGAAUUGCUACAGACAAAAUACACACGGCCAUACACUGUGAUGUGGAGAUAGGUCUGGCAAUGCGAGACUACUCCGCUCUGUACUGAGACAUCUGGUCAGAAAGGCCAAUUUACAUCUUGGCCGACCCAUCCCACCCCUUACACCAGGAGUUCCACCUUCUGCCCUCUGGGUGGAGGUAUAGGGUCCCUCGGCUCAGGAGCUCCAGAGCUUAUAGCGCCUUCAUUUCUA
This is a long non-coding RNA of Sander lucioperca (pikeperch), 263 nucleotides long. RefSeq lists it as uncharacterized. The record is from RefSeq and is a predicted model, not a curated record. The transcript is spliced from 2 exons. NCBI's taxonomy places the organism in Eukaryota, Metazoa, Chordata, Actinopteri, Perciformes, Percidae.